GAUGAACGCUGGCGGCGUGCCUAAUACAUGCAAGUCGAGCGAACAGAUGAGGAGCUUGCUCCUCUGACGUUAGCGGCGGACGGGUGAGUAACACGUGGAUAACCUACCUAUAAGACUGGGAUAACUUCGGGAAACCGGAGCUAAUACCGGAUAAUAUAUUGAACCGCAUGGUUCAAUAGUGAAAGACGGUUUUGCUGUCACUUAUAGAUGUAUCCGCGCCGCAUUAGCUAGUUGGUAAGGUAACGGCUUACCAAGGCAACGAUGCGUAGCCGACCUGAGAGGGUGAUCGGCCACACUGGAACUGAGACACGGUCCAGAAUCCUACGGGAGGCAGCAGUAGGGGAUCUUCCGCAAUGGGCGGAAGCUUGCCGGAGCAACGCCGCGGGAGUGGUGAAGGUCUUCGGAUCGUAAAACUCUGUUAUUAGGGAAGAACAAAUGUGUAAGUAACUAUGCACGUCUUGACGGUGCCUAAUCAGAAAGCCACGGCUAACUACGUG
RNAcentral lists this ribosomal RNA (497 nucleotides) under uncultured bacterium. Its description in RNAcentral is "partial 16S ribosomal RNA". It matches the Rfam family "Bacterial small subunit ribosomal RNA", at positions 28 to 507 of the family's 1533-position model. The record is from RNAcentral.